ACUUUGCAAUGUGCGAAAGCACGACAAGGUUAAUCCGAGUGAUUUGUGCUAAACGAAUCUUUUGUUAGUCCUAGAAACACUAACGAAUAAGGGGUGGGCAAGUUCUGGUGUCAGUCGCCGCGGUAAAACCAGCACCUCAAGUGGUCAGGAUGAUUAUUGGGCCUAAAGCAUCCGUAGCCGGCUCUGUAAGUUUUCGGUUAAAUCUGUACGCUCAACGUACAGGCUGCCGGGAAUACUGCAGAGCUAGGGAGUGGGAGAGGUAGACGGUACUCGGUAGGAAGGGGUAAAUCCUUUGAUCUAUUGAUGACCACCUGUGGCGAAGGCGGUCUACCAGAACACGUCCGACGGGUGAGGGAUGAAAGCUGGGGGAGCAAACCGGGAUUAGA
Molecule: ribosomal RNA, 386 nt
Filed under: uncultured crenarchaeote
Lineage: Archaea; Thermoproteati; Thermoproteota
Description: bacterial SSU rRNA
Rfam family: Archaeal small subunit ribosomal RNA
Source: RNAcentral